GAUGAACGCUGGCGGCGUGCCUAAUACAUGCAAGUCGAACGCAUUGUGGUUGAAAUGAUAUGAAGAACUUGUUCAGAUUUGAUUUUCAACAUUGCAAUGAGUGGCGAACGGGUGAGUAACACGUGGGAAACCUACCUCUUAGCAGGGGAUAACAUUUGGAAACAAAUGCUAAUACCGUAUAAUAAUUAAAACCGCAUGGUUUAGUUAAAAGAUGGUCUUGCUAUCACUAAGAGAUGGUCCCGCGGUGUAUUAGUUAGUUGGUGAGGUAAUGGCUCACCAAGACAAUGAUACAUAGCCGAGUUGAGAGACUGACCGGCCACAAUGGGACUGAGACACGGCCCAUACUCCUACGGGAGGCAGCAGUA
Molecule: ribosomal RNA, 365 nt
Filed under: uncultured bacterium
Lineage: Bacteria
Description: bacterial SSU rRNA
Rfam family: Bacterial small subunit ribosomal RNA
Source: RNAcentral